AGGUUACUUCGGUAACUGACCUAGCGGCGGACGGGUGAGUAAUGCUUAGGAAUCUGCCUAUUAGUGGGGGACAACAUUCCGAAAGGAAUGCUAAUACCGCAUACGUCCUACGGGGGAAAGCAGGGGAUCUUCGGACCUUGCGCUAAUAGAUGAGCCUAAGUCGGAUUAGCUAGUUGGUGGGGUAAAGGCCUACCAAGGCGACGAUCUGUAACGGGUCUGAGAGGAUGAUCCGCCACACUGGGACUGAGACACGGCCCAGACUCCUACGGGAGGCAGCAGUGGGGAAUAUUGGACAAUGGGCGCAAGCCUGAUCCAGCCAUGCCGCGUGUGUGAAGAAGGCCUUUUGGUUGUAAAGCACUUUAAGCGAGGAGGAGGCUCCUUUAGUUAAUACCUAAAGAGAGUGGACGUUACUCGCAGAAUAAGCACCGGCUAACUCUGUGCCAGCAGCCGCGGUAAUACAGAGGGUGCGAGCGUUAAUCGGAUUUACUGGGCGUAAAGCGUGCGUAGGCGGCUUUUUAAGUCGGAUGUGAAAUCCCUGAGCUUAACUUAGGAAUUGCAUUCGAUACUGGAAAGCUAGAGUAUGGGAGAGGAUGGUAGAAUUCCAGGUGUAGCGGUGAAAUGCGUAGAGAUCUGGAGGAAUACCGAUGGCGAAGGCAGCCAUCUGGCCUAAUACUGACGCUGAGGUACGAAAGCAUGGGGAGCAAACAGGAUUAGAUACCCUGGUAGUCCAUGCCGUAAACGAUGUCUACUAGCCGUUGGGGCCUUUGAGCUUUAGUGGCGCAGCUA
This 786-nucleotide ribosomal RNA is filed under the name uncultured bacterium. RNAcentral's name for it is "SSU rRNA". It matches the Rfam family "Bacterial small subunit ribosomal RNA", at positions 72 to 854 of the family's 1533-position model. The record is from RNAcentral.